Molecule: long non-coding RNA, 794 nt
Organism: Neodiprion fabricii
Lineage: Eukaryota; Metazoa; Arthropoda; Insecta; Hymenoptera; Diprionidae
Exons: 2
Source: RefSeq, a predicted model, not a curated record
CAACCUGAUUCCUACCAGAUGCGAGGGUUGUAUCCAUAUGGAUUGAAGGUUCGUAGAUAAGCGAGUGCAAAUGGGCGAGUGGACAGAGGAGUCCUUUGCACACUCGUAUAUCUACGUUCAGAACAUCCAUGUAUGUAGUUCGUGGUUAUACGCAUAUUGGACAAAACUACAUAAUUCGUAUGGAGGGAACUGUGUUUUCAAUUUGCAUGAUUAAAACCAGAAGAGAGGUGCACGAUCUGCAGUAAUAUAUAUAGCCUAUGACUGUGCAUCAUGUGAGGAUUAGUAAGAAUAUACUAUUUGGUGUGUGAUGUAUGUAGUAUCUUACGUGAAAUGAAUAUUGUCCCGAGUAAAAUACUCGACGUGGGAUGGAAAUUUGGGGUGACAGCAGCGAGUAGCGAAUCUGAUAGAUUGGGAAAAACAUUUCUCCAGCUACGCUUACUCGUCGACGAGGGUAACGGCGAAAGAAGUAAUAUAUUCACGGAAAUGACACUUGGACAAUUUUACAAAUUCCUCCAUGAGCUUGAAAAGGCUAAAAGCAACUUAGAGCUGUUGCAAUAAUUACAAUAAUCAAGAUAAUAACAAUGAUGUUCAUGAUUUAUUAAACUAGACUAGUUUCUUAAUCACAUACAAAUAUUUAUGUAUACUUUAAUAAGUAUUGUUGAUGCAUAACAUCGCGUAAAUGAUGCAGUCAUUGAUACACCUUGAUUAAAGUAUUAAAAAAAAUGUUUAUUCAAGUAUUUCUACGUAGUUCUAAAAAAUAAUAAUUACAUUAAAUAAAAAAUAAUCUCACAUGA